GGUUUACUUAUUUUAUGUGUAUGAAUUUCUUUUUCUCCUGUCCUGGUAGGAAUGAAGAUAUCCUUUGGCUACAGAGAGGACUGCAGAAGUGGUCCCCCAAGAAACUGGAAUUUCCCCAGGAAUCUCAUGCUGGGAGAAAGAAAAGGCUGAAGCUAUGCCAGCCCCGAGGACUGGAGGACUGCUGCGUUCUUUCCAUCCACAGAACUAAACACAUUAGAUGGAAAAGGGUUUCUCAGUAGCCCUGACUGUCAAAGAACUCACCCUGUAGACCAGGCUGGCCUCGGACCCAUCAAUCCACCCACAUGCCGCUGCCACCUGAAUGCAUGGGAUUAAUGACACGAACAACUCCACUGGGCGUAUUCAGAUGAUCUCAAGUGGAAAUAGAAGAACAAAAGAGGUGGCCACAAGAAGACGUCAUUGCUGAUUUGGAAGCCGAAAGAUGAGGGUAUGAGCUGGGGGCUGAGGUCAGGCUCUCACCGGCGCUAGGCAAGUGUUCUACCCUUGAGCUACAUCCCUAGCUGAGGCGGGGACUGAAGCAGAGAUCACAGGGGAACAGCACUUACUGGCAUGCUCUCUAUACAACCCAGAACCAUCCCUCUAGCGACGGCACUGCCCACACUGGGUUAUGUUUUCAGCAAUGGUGUCUUAACUAACUUAACUUAACUAACUGUGGUGAACGCCAGGAGCAAUGGCAACAACACGUGCUGUUUCAAGGGCCUCUGGGAAGACAGUUUGUUUUUGUUUUUCCAUUUAGAAAGCACAUGGAGGCAGACAAAUGGCUUUGCUGAACUUCUGAAUUGUUGUAUAGGUUCUUGUUCUUUUGUUUAGUUUUCCCUUAAGCUUUCUACUUGUAUUUAGGAGGAUAUAUUUUCUAGUUUCCUGUCUGGCAGCUCUCAAGGUUUUCUUUCUCAGACUCCGGGUAAACGAAGCCCUGGACCAUGCUUGCUGACGGCGCCUUGGCAACUGCCUCUGGGUUCAGUGCUGCCCAUGGCCUCGGUACUUGACAUUCCUCUCUGAUGGCCGUGCACCACCACACCUUGUUUAUACAGUGCUAAGUGUGAAACCUCACAUCAGUCUGGGAGAGGUGGCACAGGCCUUUAAUCCCAGCACUUGGAAGGCAGAGGCAGGCAGAUCUCUUGAGUUCAAGGCCAGCCUGGUCUACAAAGCGAGUUCCAGGGCAGCCAGGGCUACACAGAGAAACCCUGUGUCAAAAGACAAAACUAAACAACAAACCCUCCAAUAAAACAAACAAAUAAACCUUAGCACUGAAUCCAGAGAACAAUCUAUUAACUGAGCUACACAUCCAUCCUUUAGCCCAUUCCUUUCUGGAGAGCUGAACCCCUAUGUGAAAGAACCUGGUGCAGUGUUUCAGGUGUUUGUUGUGGGAACUGAGGUCACAUCCUUUGGGUGCCUCCUUUGUGGUUUUCUUUCUCUCUCUGUUUUCGUCUUAGGGCCUGUUAACAUUCAGGAUCGCAUGUGACCACAGUGUAGAGAGGUAAUUCUCAUACGAAGUUCAGCUAACUUAGGAAAUCAGACAUCAUGGGAAUUGGUGCCUGCUUUAAUGCUAAAUCCUGAGGGUUUGAGUCUGGGAAGGUCAACCCUGUAAAACAAAUCUUCAAAGUCGCCAGGCAAGGGACCACAGAAUGAGGGGAAGGUGUGGCUGUCAUUGAGGAGUGCUCCUGGGACCCUGAAGCCCCUGCAUAGGACUAUCCUGGGGUUCAGAAUCAGAUAGGUGAAUGCUGCGAAAGCUUCCACACUGUUCAUGACCUGAAUCAUCUCUGCCGUAUCCCAGAGCCCUUGCAGUUGAGUCUUCCUCUGACUGGGGAUAAUGUCUGCACACCAAGGGUGAUUGCACAAGUGAAGUUCCUUUUCUUGUGUGAUGGUUGGAAUAGGUUUGGCCCUACAGACUCCUGUGUGAAUCGUUGGCCUUAGGGUGUGGCACUGAUAGGAGG
Molecule: long non-coding RNA, 1952 nt
Filed under: Rattus norvegicus (Norway rat)
Lineage: Eukaryota; Metazoa; Chordata; Mammalia; Rodentia; Muridae
Description: long non-coding RNA NONRATT034060
Source: RNAcentral